AUCCUUUUGUAGUUCAUGAGCAUGAUGAUUGGGUGUUCACACGCUUGUGUGAGAUGUGCCACCCUCUAACCUUGUUACGACGCCUGCACAUUAUCCAUCUGACC
Saimiri boliviensis boliviensis (Bolivian squirrel monkey) is the source of this 104-nucleotide small nucleolar RNA. RefSeq annotates it as small nucleolar RNA U13. NCBI's taxonomy places the organism in Eukaryota, Metazoa, Chordata, Mammalia, Primates, Cebidae. The record is from RefSeq and is a predicted model, not a curated record.